CCCGAGGGAGGAGAGUGACCUCAGCGCCAGAGAAGCAUCUGCUCGCAGAGCGAGGGCGGACCGCACUGGAGGCGCCCCUUCUCUCCCUCUCCCCGUCCGAGCUUCGGCUCUCUGCAGCGGCCGUGGCCGGCCGGGGGGCUGUCCUGGGCGUAAAUUGGAGCUCUGGGCUCCCUCGGGGACCAUCUGCCGCCCACAGCCCAGCUGCCAGCCCUCCUGCCGCUCCUGCUGGGUCAUGGGAGCCCCAAGUCACACCACCACCUGGGGCAGGGCCCUCUGGGCCCUCCUCCUGACCACACUUGGCUCUGUGGCCAGCCAGCCGCUGGGGGGAGAGUCUGUCUGCACCGCCCAGCCCCUGGCCAAGUACAGCAUCACCUUCACGGGCAAGUGGAGCCAGACAGCCUUCCCCAAGCAGUACCCCCUGUUCCGACCCCCCGCACAGUGGUCCUCCCUGCUGGGGGCAGCGCACAGCUCCGACUACAGCUUGUGGAGGAAGAACCAGUACGUCAGCGACGGGCUCAGGGACUUUGCUGAGCGGGGCGAGGCCUGGGCCCUGAUGCGGGAGAUGGAGGCUGCCGGGGAGAAGCUGCAGAGCGUGCACGAGGUGUUCUCGGCGCCCGCCUUGCCCAGUGGCACCGGGCAGACGUCCGCGGAGCUGGAGGUCCACUCGAGGCACUCGCUGGUGUCCUUUGUGGUCCGCAUCGUCCCCAGUCCAGACUGGUUUGUGGGCGUGGACAGCCUGGACCUGUGCGAUGGGGACCGCUGGAGGGAGCAGGUUGCUGUGGACCUUUACCCCUACGACGCCGGGACCGACAGCGGCUUUACCUUCUCCUCCCCCAACUUCGCGACCAUCCCGCAGGACACGGUGACGGAGAUAACCUCCUCCUCUCCCAGCCACCCCGCAAACUCCUUCUACUACCCCCGGCUGAAGUCCCUGCCCCCCAUCGCCAGAGUGACCCUGGUGCGACUCCGGCAGAACCCCAGGGCCUUCGUCCCGCCCGCCCCAGGCCCCGCGGGCGCCGGCGGGGGCAAUGAGAUCGUGGACAGCCUCUCAGUUCCAGAAACUCCGCUGGAUUGCGAGGUCUCUCUGUGGUCAUCCUGGGGGCUGUGUGCAGGUCCGUGUGGGAAGCUGGGAGCCAAGAGCAGGACUCGCUACGUCCGCGUGCAGCCUGCCAACCACGGGGCACCCUGCCCGGAGCUCGAAGAGCAGGCCGAGUGCAUCCCGGACAACUGUGUCUGAGGCCAGAGCCCUGCGGGCCCUCCACCCUGCGUGGGGGCCACGCCCGGUGGUUCAGCGGGCCAAGGGGGGCUUUGUCCAGCAGGCCUCUGAGCUCCAACGCUGACCGACCCCUCCGCGCAGACGUACCUUCGGCUGCUGGAGGCAGCAGGAUGUGGGGAGAGGCGUCUCCUUUCAGCAAGCUUUCCUCUCGGGCGCCCGGUCCUGGGACCCACUCUCAUGGGGAGUAGAUUCUCAGCCAAUACCUUGGGUGUGUCCUGCUGAACAGACUCGGGGUGUUCACUAAGAGGAGAGACUCGUCGGAGAGACGUUCUUAGCAGAUGUUCCCUGUGGAUCUCUGGACAUGUCAUCUCGGGGCACAACUGAGAUACUUCACAAUACCGCACUUUCCAGCAGUGGGCUGCCAGCCUGCGUUCCUCAGAGGCCAUGUAGAAACAAACACCCUUUACAUCACGCGCUCACAUUAAGGAUAAAGCAAGGAGUCAAAAGACAAGGGGACGAUGCCAGGGUGGGACGCAUCUGUGAGGGGAGAACCUGUCUCCCGAUCUGGGCGAAGGAUGCAGGGGCAAAAUGUGUCUGACCCUGAAUAUACUGAAGGCUUGCAAGCCCCGGGGAAGGCUUGGAU
RNA transcript from Mirounga angustirostris (Northern elephant seal), 1859 nucleotides. It is a transcript of the gene named spondin 2, with no coding region annotated. NCBI's taxonomy places the organism in Eukaryota, Metazoa, Chordata, Mammalia, Carnivora, Phocidae. The transcript has 7 exons. The record is from RefSeq and is a predicted model, not a curated record.